GCUCACAGUGAGCUGAGCGCCUGAGAGGAGCAUCUGAAGGCUUUUCUCAUUGAUGUCGAGCUCCACUUCACCCCCUCUCACGGUUUGACGUUGGAGGAGGAAAUAGGUUUGACUAAACUCCAGAGAUUGUGUGGCGGGGGGGCGGGGGGGCUCUGCAAAGAAUAGCUUAAGCCGCGGAAUAAAGACAAAGAACUUAAUUUGAAGUCAUGGUUGCCCUGUAUUAGAGGCGUGAUGUGCUUCUUUAGUGCUAGGCAUGACCAAAAAAGUUCUGAGGUAGACAGAAAAGGAGGAGGAAGGGGACAUAUAUGGAGAAAAAGAGACUGGUCUUAUGAUGAGUCGAGGCACGUAUCUCCGCUCAACCGUGUCUUUCUGGGCUUCGAGCUCGCAGCUGCAGCGGCGGCUAUUGAAUUCAGAUGCGGCCUGUCUCUCCGCUCCGGCCGCUACAGGUGGAAAUGCUCUUAUCAAUACAGACUGUCCGAGGCUGACUGCGGGCCGAUCCGUCUCAUUGAUGAUUUUAGGUGCCCAUGCCCUCCCUCUCCUCCCCGAGGAGCCCAUUGAUUAAUGUCUGGGUCACAGUGGUAUUUCCAUAUUGAUACCUCGAUUGAUGACGGCGCCCCAGGAACAAGCCGUAUUGACCAGCUGGAAAGUGAUACGUUUCAAACUGUUUGGCGGAUGUAUUUAUGCAUAAUGACCAUAAUUAGGAGGAUAGACAUGUGGUGGAGGCAAAGGAGAUGUAGGUGAAUGAUCCAGCACCUGUAUCCUGGGAGCAAAUCACAUCAAUAGUCCCACAAUAACAACAACAACAACCUGUUAUACUUCCACCACUACUAAUGUACAUUUUAUCGCUAUUAACUGGGAUAAAAUAUAGUGUGACUGUUAGGAGAUGAUAGCAGUAUUGUACUUCAUGGCAUUAUUAUUUAUUUAUUUUUACCAUUCCUAAUUAACCUAUAAGAUAAGAUGAAACUUUAUUGAUCACCAGGAGGAAAUGAAGUAUUACAGCAGCACAAAACACACCAGUGAGUAUUUACUUUCCUCAAGGUCAGUUGUUCCAAACCUGGGAGACCAGACCUCCACAGGUGUCACAGUGUAAAUCUGAGGGGUCGUCAAAUGAUCAACAAGGUAGGGAAAAAAAUAGAAACAAAACAUAAAAAAUAUACUAUACUAAUGUUUCUCAAAUCUUUUUUUUUUUUUUUCAUGGAAGAGUUUCACCAUCUCCGGUAGUUCAAACACUAGUAAAGGGAAUCAGUCUGAGAGAGGAACCUAACUGCUCAUGUGACAAGGAGUGCAUGUGCGGUGGUUAAAUGGUCUACAAAUAUGAGGUCAUGUUAGGUUUCAUUCUGGUCAGCAGUUUUUAUCAGCUGCAAAACAUGACUGUACAGAACACACCUCGCAAUCAGUACUUUGAUAGUUGAGUUUUCAAAGCAACAUGAGACUACUAACAGAGAUUCAAACAUGAAAAUUGUGACAUAUUCCAAAAUCAGAAAACAAAACUCAAUAAUAACAACUCUCAUAAGGAUAGACCUACAGUAGUCUACAAAGGUUCAGCAAGUGUUGCUAAUUGGCAUGCAACCUAAUGUGACCUUUUGUAGCUGUGUUUACAAUGGCAGUUUACUUAUUUUAAAGGAUUUUUUUAGAUGUUUACAUGGCUUUGUCUGCUCCUUACUGCUAUGUAAUCAUAUUCCUGUGAUAUUUCCACGCUAUCUUUCUAAAACUGGCUAGUUCUUCUUCAUCGGGUCAAGUGUACACACUGCAUAAUGCAGAACAACUCCACAGAGAGCCCAGAGUUGUGAACUCAAUUUUGUAGACACCCUAAUUUAAAGGGCUGCAAGAUAACAACAUGAUUCGGUGGGACUUGUUCUACUUGUUGAGGAGAUUACUUUGGAGGCAGAGGGCAGUGUGUGGCGAUGAUAGUGAGAAAAAAAUAAAGCGUUGAGCAGAACGGAUCCAACUUUACACUUUUAGGGUCAGUGGUCAAAAUGAGCACUCGGCCUCCAGUCCCCUGGACAUGGAUCAGGGGCCCUGACGUAUAUCUGCUGAUUACAUCUCCUGAAGUGGAAAACAUGCAAAUAAUAAAUGUAUGAGCAACGUGCUUGUUUUUUUGCUUGAUUAAUUAUGCCGUUUAAUUCCAGAUCCACCAUGCCGCUCCACCGUAUAAUUUCCCAGUGGUCUUGGCUGUUUCUUCUCUCACAUGCGCUCUCUCCUUUUUUUUCCUCAUUGCAAAAUGAAUCAUGGAUCUCACCGUCUGUACCCGGGGGAGAGCGGCAAGUUGGCGAAUGGGCUGACCAAUCAUGAGCAUCAGAGGCAGACACACAGAAGGAGGGAGCCUUUUGUUAUCUGCUGCACUCAUCAAGUUAGAAGACAACUACCGAUUUGGCCUGAAGAAAAUUAAAAGAUGAAUUCUUAUCCAAUCAGAGUGGCCAGUGUGUGUUUAUCUGAGUGGGUGGCAAAGUUUCAGCGCCAUUCAUAAUGUCAAGUGGGACCAUGACUGCUCUUCUAUUCCCAGCCUGGCCAACCCUCUCUCAGCCUCCUGACAGUUCCAGGCAGGAUGCAGAUGAGGGCGAAGGUCAUCUCCGUAGCGAUCGACCCCACAGCCCCGCAGCAUGGCACUCUGACUGGCACAGGUC
This is a long non-coding RNA of Micropterus salmoides (largemouth bass), 2624 nucleotides long. RefSeq lists it as uncharacterized. The transcript is spliced from 4 exons. The record is from RefSeq and is a predicted model, not a curated record. Lineage: Eukaryota; Metazoa; Chordata; Actinopteri; Centrarchiformes; Centrarchidae.